GGUAGGCGCGGGCCGGCAGGGGCGGGGCGCGAGCGCGGCUCAGGGCGAGCGGCAGCGGGUGCGCGCGCGGCUCCGCUCCGCUCUCGCCGUCUCCGCCGCCGCGGCUCCGCUCGCCCCGGCAUGAGGAAGCGCAACGAGUCCGUCACCGUGGAGCAUGAGCGCGCCGCCGCCGCCGCGCCGCCGCCGCUCGACAAGGGCUGCAGCCUGAGGCACAGCCUGCGCCUGCCCCCCGCCGCCGCCGCCGCGGGCAUGAAGCGACCGCUCGGCAGGUGUGGUUUACUCUGUUUCAAGCAUCUCUUGAGACUUCUAGCAUCCUACUGCAGACAUCUUUGAUCUAAAGUUUCUUUCCCUGGGUCCAGUUUUCCUGAACUGCAUGAAUUGCAGACCUGUGCUUGUUUCACCACACUUAAACUUCCUGAUGUGGGCAGUUCUGGAGAACUCCUGGGACCAAGAUGGACUUUUCAGUCACUCAUGGAAGGAAGAUGUCUUUGUGGGGACCAGGAUCUUCUCAGUGUUGCAGUAUUUUCUGAACCCCUGUUCUAUUUCCAAGCUGGUUUUGCUUCCACAGAGUGUCCAUGACCUACUUAAAUGGCAUGUUGUUGCCUAAGCAGCUUGGUUUGCUGUGAAUCAAAUUCUCUGCAAAAUGAGUCACAGGACACAGGUGCGAGUCCAUAGGUUUCCUCCAGGAGGCAGUAAUAUGUAUUUCUCUUUGGUGAAAGCAACAUGAUGUCAUUUUAAUGAAAACUAACAAUGGCGGCAUCACUUCCUCUCCAGAAUCUGCUGCUGUGAUACCGGCAAGAGGCCUGCUAUACUUUCUAAGCAGGAUUCCUGCCAUGGAUGAAGAGUCCUGCCUGCUGCAUCCAGUUUUGUUUGAAAGGCACCAUCAAGUGACUUCCUCUGCUAACAACUCCUUUCAAGCCCAGAGUUGUCCUCUUAUAUCGCAGUUGGGAAGAAGAAAGGGUUUUCUUCAGUUACCUUCCUCCUGUUUUACUAGGAGUGGUGCUCGAAUAGCAAGAAUUGGUGUUUCUUCCAGGCCUCUCUGGAGAGAACAACUGAUCUGCAGGCCAUACUGUGGGCCUUUCCCUUUCAGCUGUAAUAUGCUUUUUGUCCAUCAAGCAGAGCAAAUACAAAGAUUUGAAGUCUCAAAUACCCUACUGUGAUAGGUAAUAAUUUGUUACAUCAACUCGUGAAGUGAUUUUACCAUGAAACUAGGUGCUAAGUACCGGCUAUCACCACAGUGAUUGUACUGAGUCAGCAGAGCGAUAUUGUAUUGUGAAAUGUAUGCGCGUGACCUG
This 1295-nucleotide long non-coding RNA is filed under the name Apteryx rowi (Okarito brown kiwi). RNAcentral's name for it is "lncRNA (ENSARWG00000009383.1)". Lineage: Eukaryota; Metazoa; Chordata; Aves; Apterygiformes; Apterygidae. The record is from RNAcentral.